RNAcentral lists this ribosomal RNA (466 nucleotides) under uncultured bacterium. RNAcentral describes it as "bacterial SSU rRNA". It matches the Rfam family "Bacterial small subunit ribosomal RNA", at positions 355 to 825 of the family's 1533-position model. The record is from RNAcentral.
UAAGGAAUAUUGGUCAAUGCCCGGAAGGGUGAACCAGCCAUCCCGCGUGAAGGAUGAAGGGGCUCUGCCUUGUAAACUUCUUUUGAAUGGGACGAAAAAGCCUCACUUGUGAGGAACUGACGGUACCAUUAGAAUAAGCACCGGCUAACUCCGUGCCAGCAGCCGCGGUAAUACGGAGGGUGCGAGCGUUAUCCGGAAUCACUGGGUUUAAAGGUGCGUAGGCGGCUGUAUAAGUCAGUGGUGAAAGGCUGUGGCUUAACCAUGGGAUUGCCAUUGAUACUGUACGGCUUGAAUUAGGAUGAGGUUGGCGGAAUGUGACAUGUAGCGGUGAAAUGCUUAGAUAUGUCAUGGAACAUCGAUUGCGAAGGCAGCUGACUGGACCUUAAUUGACGCUGAGGCACGAAAGCGUGGGGAGCGAACAGGAUUAGAUACCCAAGUAGUCCCUGAGCGGGCUGGCAAGGCGCAU